Molecule: ribosomal RNA, 429 nt
Filed under: Pseudomonadota bacterium
Lineage: Bacteria; Pseudomonadati; Pseudomonadota
Description: Proteobacteria bacterium partial 16S ribosomal RNA
Rfam family: Bacterial small subunit ribosomal RNA
Source: RNAcentral
UGGGGAAUAUUGGACAAUGGGCGAAAGCCUGAUCCAGCCAUGCCGCGUGUGUGAAGAAGGUCUUCGGAUUGUAAAGCACUUUAAGUUGGGAGGAAGGGCAGUAAGCGAAUACCUUGCUGUUUUGACGUUACCGACAGAAUAAGCACCGGCUAACUCUGUGCCAGCAGCCGCGGUAAUACAGAGGGUGCAAGCGUUAAUCGGAAUUAUUGGGCGUAAAGCGCGCGUAGGUGGUUCGUUAAGUUGAAUGUGAAAGCCCCGGGCUCAACCUGGGAACUGCAUCCAAAACUGGCGGGCUAGAGUAGGGCAGAGGGUGGUGGAAUUUCCUGUGUAGCGGUGAAAUGCGUAGAUAUAGGAAGGAACACCAGUGGCGAAGGCGACCACCUGGGCUCAUACUGACACUGAGGUGCGAAAGCGUGGGGAGCAAACAGG